This 1292-nucleotide long non-coding RNA is filed under the name Capsella grandiflora. Its description in RNAcentral is "long non-coding RNA (CGRA_LNC001680)". The record is from RNAcentral. Lineage: Eukaryota; Viridiplantae; Streptophyta; Magnoliopsida; Brassicales; Brassicaceae.
CCGUCAGCACAACAGCUCCUGCUCUUAUCUGCAACACAAACCAGACACAAGAAUUCUCAGCUACUGUAACAAAAUUAGACACAAACACAAGAAUUCUCAGCUACUGUAACAAAAUCAGACACAAGAAUUCUCAGCAGGUCCCAUCAUUCCGAACAGAAUGAAACUGAGCCUAAGAGCAGAAUGUAACUCUAGAGCAAAAAGCCAACAGUUUAGAGUAGGACGCACAAGUUAGAUUUCAUAAACAAGAUGACAUUUUGGUUAAGAACAAAACAUUCAAAAGCACUCAAUAUCAUACGAAAACAGAGGGUAACUAGAUCACAUUAUACUAAGACUAGGAUGGCCAAAGUUCAAAAAUUUAAAAUUCAACAAGCCAUUGGAUUUCCAUUGACAAUUCUCCACAAACCACAUGAAAACAACAUAGAUUAUGAUAAAACUACAGUCCUUGCCUUAUGUGAAGUUAAUUCAGAAGUUUGUGGCAAUCUGAAUUAGUAAACUAAGAGUAGUGUUGCAGAUUCAGUAGCUAACAAGCUUAGUGUUUGAUUCAAUAGCUAACUAGACUCAUUAACUCCAAGUAAACUGUACCUAUAGAGACAUUCACGUGAAACUGAAAUCUAGUGAAACAAUGUCAGCAUACUAGCACAAUUGUGUUGCAGACACAUAAUUAUAGUAAUGAAACGUGGGUUUGCUUCUAAAUAAAGAAGAAGAUUAUAGCAAUGAGUAAUACGGAUGAAAACAAACUCAUGAAUAAGACAACACAAACACAAAACAUAACUAUAUUAAGCUUAUCAUUUACAUCCUAACUUUGUACAAUCUAUAUCGAAACCACAGAUGAGCUCACAAUCUGAGAAAAUUCUCUAACUAAGCUCGAUUACGAAAAAUCAGAUCACAACUAAUGCACUCAACUCAAUCAAAAGAGAGAGAGGACUCAAUAUUGCAAAAUCGAGACUUUAAAGCUAAUCCAAUACACAAUCAAAUUGGGUUUCUUCGCGACACGCACACAAAGAUAAUCUAGCAAAGGAACUUGAAAAGAAGCUAUGCUAAUAUCUAGCUAUGGAACAAAAACAAAAAACGAUACGAACCAGAGCAACGAGUUGAGAGACGAGGAGAAUCGGAGACUUACGGACAAGCAGAAGCAGCGUUUGGUCUUAAGAGGAGAAUCAAACAAGUGAAUUGAAAAUUUAUAUUAGUUUAAUUUUCCCCAAAAUUAGAAAUCCGAGAUUGUUUUUUAAAAAAAUCGGGCAUCCCAUUGUCUUUGAAUAUCAAAGUUUUCUUCAGAGAAGAGAAGGGAUCGA